AAGCGCUGGCGGCGUGCUUAAUACAUGCAAGUCAACGACUUUUAGAGUAGCAAUAUUUUAAAAGGAGUGGCGCACGGGUGAGUACACGUAGGUAAUCUGCCUUCAGGACUGACACAACUCGUCGAAAGACGGGCUAAUAUCAGAUAAUGCAGCGGCUCCGCAUGGAGACAGUUGUUAAAGUACAAGCGCCUGAAGAUGAGCCUGCGGUCCAUUAGCUAGUUGGUAGAGUAACAGCCUACCAAGGCAACGAUGGAUAGCUGGUCUGAGAGGAUGAUCAGCCACACUGGAACUGAGACACGGUCCAGACUCCUACGGGAGGCAGUAGUAAGGAAUAUUGCUCAAUGGCCGAAAGGCUGAAGCAGCAACGCCGCGUGAAGGAUGAAUGGCCUUUGGCCUGUAAACUUCUGUAAAAGGGAAAACAAUCAGGCAUGUCCUGAUUUGAUUGUACCCUUGAAGUAAGCCCCGGCUAACUACGUG
RNAcentral lists this ribosomal RNA (477 nucleotides) under uncultured bacterium. RNAcentral's name for it is "bacterial SSU rRNA". It matches the Rfam family "Bacterial small subunit ribosomal RNA", at positions 32 to 507 of the family's 1533-position model. The record is from RNAcentral.